GAUGGCGACAUGGAGNGAAACCCUAAAAAGCUGUCUCAGUUCAGAUUGCAGGCUGAAACCCGCCUGCAUGAAGGCGGAAUUGCUAGUAAUCGCGGAUCAGCAUGCCGCGGUGAAUACGUUCCCGGGUCUUGUACACACCGCCCGUCACACCAUGAGAGUCGCGAACACCCAAAGUCCAUAGUCCAACUUUAACGAGAGGGCGUGGCCUAAGGUGGGCGUGAUAAUUGGGGUGAAGUCGUAACAAGGUAAC
This 250-nucleotide ribosomal RNA is filed under the name uncultured bacterium. Its description in RNAcentral is "partial 16S ribosomal RNA". It matches the Rfam family "Bacterial small subunit ribosomal RNA", at positions 1253 to 1500 of the family's 1533-position model. The record is from RNAcentral.